UUGGCUGAUAAUUGUAGCCACUAGAGAUGUUACCACCUGGGCUGGAGAGAUGGCUCAGCUGUUAAAGGCCAGGCUCACAACCAAAAAUAUA
This 91-nucleotide microRNA precursor is filed under the name Cricetulus griseus (Chinese hamster). RNAcentral describes it as "miRNA (ENSCGRG00001007169.1)". The record is from RNAcentral. Lineage: Eukaryota; Metazoa; Chordata; Mammalia; Rodentia; Cricetidae.